RNAcentral lists this ribosomal RNA (324 nucleotides) under uncultured Allapsidae. RNAcentral's name for it is "SSU rRNA". The stretch from base 114 to 324 matches the Rfam family "Eukaryotic small subunit ribosomal RNA", at positions 743 to 955 of the family's 1831-position model. The record is from RNAcentral. Lineage: Eukaryota; Cercozoa; Glissomonadida; Viridiraptoridae.
GAUUUCUGGUUUGAUGUGCCUGUCCCGCCACGGUAACGUGUGUGAGUGACGGCGUAUGUCUGCCAUCCUUCUAGAUUUGGCAGUCUACUCUUUACUGAGCUGGUCUGUCUGUUCUAGAUCUUUUACUUUGAAAAAAUUAGAGUGUUUCAAGCAGGCUUUUGCUAUGAAUACAUUAGCAUGGAAUAAUGAGUUAGGACUUCGGUUCUAUUUUGUUGGUUUCUAGGACUGAAGUAAUGAUUGAUAGGGACAGUUGGGGGUGCUAGUAUUCAGUGCGAAGAGGUGAAAUUCUUGGAUCCACUGAAGACUAACUUAUGCGAAAGCAUU